UACGGGGGGAGCAAGCGUUGUUCGGAUUUACUGGGCGUAAAGGGCGCGUAGGCGGCCACCGCAAGUCAGUUGUGAAAGCUCUGGGCUUAACCCAGAAAGGUCAACUGAUACUGCGGGGCUAGAGUGCAGAAGGGGCAACUGGAAUUCUCGGUGUAGCGGUGAAAUGCGUAGAUAUCGAGAGGAACACCUGCGGCGAAGGCGGGUUGCUGGGCUGACACUGACGCUGAGGAGCGAAAGCGUGGGCAGCAAACAGG
This 254-nucleotide ribosomal RNA is filed under the name uncultured bacterium. RNAcentral describes it as "partial 16S ribosomal RNA". It matches the Rfam family "Bacterial small subunit ribosomal RNA", at positions 524 to 776 of the family's 1533-position model. The record is from RNAcentral.